CAGCCGCCGCGGUAAUACGGAGGGUGCAAGCGUUAAUCGGAAUUACUGGGCGUAAAGCGCACGCAGGCGGUCUGACAAGUCAGAUGUGAAAUCCCCGGGCUUAACCUGGGAACUGCAUUUGAAACUGUCAGGCUGGAGUCUUGUAGAGGGGGGUGGAAUUCCAGGUGUAGCGGUGAAAUGCGUAGAGAUCUGGAGGAAUACCGGUGGCGAAGGCGGCCCCCUGGACAAAGACUGACGCUCAGGUGCGAAAGCGUGGGGAGCAAACAGGAUUAGAUACCCGGGUAGUCCCUGUCUCUUAUAA
RNAcentral lists this ribosomal RNA (301 nucleotides) under uncultured bacterium. Its description in RNAcentral is "partial 16S ribosomal RNA". It matches the Rfam family "Bacterial small subunit ribosomal RNA", at positions 509 to 809 of the family's 1533-position model. The record is from RNAcentral.